UUAUAAUGUGGCCUAUUGGCCCUCCAGGGAAAACAGGAAAUCCAGGAAAAGGGAUUUAAAAGAGGGCAUUAGUUACAAUCCUAACUGUACACACACACACACACACACAUAUGUACACACAUACACACAUACACCACGCAAUUAUAUAUAUCAAUUAAAGGAGAAAGCUAAAGAUUAACAGUUAAAAAAUCUGUUUAUAAAUUAGAAAAAUAUCAUCAGACUGUAAAGAAAGGAGAAGAAAUCAGUACAGAGUAGCAUCACAGAGUUAAGUUAGCAGAAUGUUCUAAGGUAGUUAUAAUCAACAGUUCCAAGAGACACUUAAAAAUGAAUGGCAUAUUUCACUUCACACAAUGUCCUCCAGGUUCAUCCAUAUUGUUGCAAAUAACAAGAUUUCCUUCUUUUUUAAGGCUUAAUAGUAUUCCAUUGUGCAUACAGACCUCAUUUUUUACUCCAUUCAUCUGUUGAUGGCUGUAUCUUGGCUCUUGAGAAUAAUGCAGCAAUGAACAUGGGAGUGCAGGUAAAGCUACAGAUCAUCUCAAAUUCAGUUCAAGUGAGAACAAAACGGGAGAACAGGAUCAUUCAAAUUAUUAUGCUGAUGGAAUGGACUGAAAAUAAAUACCAUCUCACCUAACACUGAAAUAUAACUGACCAUGCUGUGAUAGGUAUUGCAUAAUCGUUCAUUUUUAUGGGAAAAACUGCUGACCUGGACAAUAUACUUUUGCCAGAUCGCACUGCUGAGGAUUUUUUUCUAAGUACAUAGAUUUUGAAGCUCGUGAUUGCUCAUAAUUUUCCCCUCUAUAUUUAUUUGUAAAGAUAGCAACUGGAUUUUUAAUAAAGAACAAUCAAAAUAUAUGAAUGGAUUUUUGGCCAUUUUCUGAAACUUAGAAAAAGAGUUCAUACAUAAAUAAGUGUUGUUGAUAUAUUACAUUAGUGAUUCACUAUGCCCUUUGUUUAUAUCAGAGUUUUUAUUCUAUGUAUCUUGAAUCAGGAUUU
RNAcentral lists this long non-coding RNA (993 nucleotides) under Homo sapiens (human). RNAcentral describes it as "HSALNT0008928". The record is from RNAcentral. Lineage: Eukaryota; Metazoa; Chordata; Mammalia; Primates; Hominidae.